Molecule: ribosomal RNA, 253 nt
Filed under: uncultured bacterium
Lineage: Bacteria
Description: partial 16S ribosomal RNA
Rfam family: Bacterial small subunit ribosomal RNA
Source: RNAcentral
UACGUAGGGUGCGAGCGUUAAUCGGAAUUACUGGGCGUAAAGCGUGUGCAGGCGGUCUGUUAAGACAGGUGUGAAAUCCCCGGGCUUAACCUGGGAAUGGCGCUUGUUACUGGCAGACUAGAGUACGUCAGAGGGGGGUGGAAUUCCACGUGUAGCAGUGAAAUGCGUAGAGAUGUGGAGGAACACCGAUAGCGAAGGCAGCUCGCUGGGACGUUACUGACACUGAGGCGCGAAAGCGUGGGGAGCGAACAGG